GCACGACUCUCGGCAACGGAUAUCUCGGCUCUCGCCACGAUGAAGAACGUAGCGAAAUGCGAUACUUAGUGUGAAUUGCAGAAUCCCGUGAAUCAUCGAUUCUUUGAACGUAAGUUGCGCCUUGGGCCUCGGCCAAGGGCACGUCUGCUUGGGUGUCGCAU
RNAcentral lists this ribosomal RNA (161 nucleotides) under Encephalartos longifolius. RNAcentral's name for it is "5.8S rRNA". It matches the Rfam family "5.8S ribosomal RNA". Rfam says of the family: 5.8S ribosomal RNA (5.8S rRNA) is a component of the large subunit of the eukaryotic ribosome. It is transcribed by RNA polymerase I as part of the 45S precursor that also contains 18S and 28S rRNA. Functionally, it is thought that 5.8S rRNA may be involved in ribosome translocation. Lineage: Eukaryota; Viridiplantae; Streptophyta; Cycadopsida; Cycadales; Zamiaceae. The record is from RNAcentral.